GAUGAACGCUAGCGAUAGGCUUAACACAUGCAAGUCGAGGGGCAGCAUGGUCUUAGCUUGCUAAGACUGAUGGCGACCGGCGCACGGGUGCGUAACGCGUAUGCAACUUGCCUCACAGAGGGGGAUAACCCGUCGAAAGACGGACUAAUACCGCGUACACUCCAUCUUGGGCAUCCAAGGUAGAGGAAAUGAAAUUCGCUGUGAGAUAGGCAUGCGUCCCAUUAGCUAGUUGGUGAGGUAACGGCUCACCAAGGCGACGAUGGGUAGGGGAACUGAGAGGUUGAACCCCCACACUGGUACUGAGACACGGACCAGACUCCUACGGGAGGCAGCAGUGAGGAAUAUUGGUCAAUGGGCGAGAGCCUGAACCAGCCACGUCGCGUGAAGGAUGACUGUCUUAUGGAUUGUAAACUUCUUUUAUACGGGAAUAACAAGAGUCACGUGUGACUCCCUGCAUGUACCGUAUGAAUAAGCAUCGGCUAACUCCGUG
Molecule: ribosomal RNA, 490 nt
Filed under: uncultured bacterium
Lineage: Bacteria
Description: partial 16S ribosomal RNA
Rfam family: Bacterial small subunit ribosomal RNA
Source: RNAcentral